RNAcentral lists this ribosomal RNA (440 nucleotides) under Klebsiella pneumoniae. RNAcentral's name for it is "bacterial SSU rRNA". It matches the Rfam family "Bacterial small subunit ribosomal RNA", at positions 538 to 977 of the family's 1533-position model. Lineage: Bacteria; Pseudomonadati; Pseudomonadota; Gammaproteobacteria; Enterobacterales; Enterobacteriaceae. The record is from RNAcentral.
GCGUUAAUCGGAAUUACUGGGCGUAAAGCGCACGCAGGCGGUCUGUCAAGUCGGAUGUGAAAUCCCCGGGCUCAACCUGGGAACUGCAUUCGAAACUGGCAGGCUAGAGUCUUGUAGAGGGGGGUAGAAUUCCAGGUGUAGCGGUGAAAUGCGUAGAGAUCUGGAGGAAUACCGGUGGCGAAGGCGGCCCCCUGGACAAAGACUGACGCUCAGGUGCGAAAGCGUGGGGAGCAAACAGGAUUAGAUACCCUGGUAGUCCACGCCGUAAACGAUGUCGAUUUGGAGGUUGUGCCCUUGAGGCGUGGCUUCCGGAGCUAACGCGUUAAAUCGACCGCCUGGGGAGUACGGCCGCAAGGUUAAAACUCAAAUGAAUUGACGGGGGCCCGCACAAGCGGUGGAGCAUGUGGUUUAAUUCGAUGCAACGCGAAGAACCUUACCUG